GCAUAACGCGAAGAACCUUACCCACCUUUGACAUGUACGGAAUCCUUUAGAGAUAGAGGAGUGCUCGAAAGAGAGCCGUAACACAGGUGCUGCAUGGCUGUCGUCAGCUCGUGUCGUGAGAUGUUGGGUUAAGUCCCGCAACGAGCGCAACCCUUGCCAUUAGUUGCUACGAAAGGGCACUCUAAUGGGACUGCCGGUGACAAACCGGAGGAAGGUGGGGAUGACGUCAAGUCCUCAUGGCCCCUUAUAGGUGGGGCUACACACGUCAUACAAUGGCUGGUACAAAGGGUUGCCAACCCGCGAGGGGGAGCUAAUCCCAUAAAGACCAGUCGUAGUCCGGAUCGCAGUCUGCAACUCGACUGCGUGAAGUCGGAAUCGCUAGUAACCGUGGAUCAGAAUGUCACGGUG
This 408-nucleotide ribosomal RNA is filed under the name uncultured bacterium. RNAcentral's name for it is "bacterial SSU rRNA". It matches the Rfam family "Bacterial small subunit ribosomal RNA", at positions 954 to 1364 of the family's 1533-position model. The record is from RNAcentral.